UACGGUGGGUGCAAGCGUUAUUCGGAAUUACUGGGCGUAAAGCGCGUGUAGGCGGGAAGGUAAGUCUGAUGUGAAAGCCCCGGGCUCAACCUGGGAAGUGCAUUGGAUACUGCUUUUCUUGAGUUCUGGAGAGGAUGGGGGAAUUCCCGGUGUAGAGGUGAAAUUCGUAGAGAUCGGGAGGAAUAUCAGUGGCGAAGGCGCCCAUCUGGACGGCAACUGACGCUGAGACGCGACAGCGUGGGGAGCAAACAGG
Molecule: ribosomal RNA, 253 nt
Filed under: uncultured bacterium
Lineage: Bacteria
Description: partial 16S ribosomal RNA
Rfam family: Bacterial small subunit ribosomal RNA
Source: RNAcentral